AGACAAUUAACUUUCCAUCUGGAAUUGACCUUUGAGGUAUCAUCAGGAAAGGCUUCAUGAAGAUAGUGAAACUACAACAACCCCUUGAAAGUUACAGAUGGAGCUGAAUAAAGGGCUGUAGUCUUCUAAUUGAUUGUCUUCAUCUUGACUUCCUGUUUGGCUAAAAUGUAAAAUAAAGACUUUGUGGACUGCAUGCUCUUUGUCUCAACAACUCAACUCGACUGCUGUAAGGUUAAUGCGGCCAUAGACAGUAUACAAACAAAUGGGCAUGGCUGUGUUCCAAUAAAACUUUAUUUAUUGACACUGAAAUUUUAAUUUCAUAUAAUUUUCACAUGUCACGAAUAUUAUUCUUUUGAUUUUUCCUGAACAUUUAGACAUGUAAAAACCGUUCAUAGCUUGCAGGCCAUAAAAAUGUUUGCUGGCCAGAUUUUUUUGGUUUUUACUGACUGAAACUCUUACGGUUAUAGUGGUAUAAUUAAGAUGCUGCUUAUAUUAUUGCCACCAAAAAUGCUCUCU
This is a long non-coding RNA of Choloepus didactylus (southern two-toed sloth), 516 nucleotides long. RefSeq lists it as uncharacterized. The record is from RefSeq and is a predicted model, not a curated record. The transcript is spliced from 4 exons. Lineage: Eukaryota; Metazoa; Chordata; Mammalia; Pilosa; Megalonychidae.